UCCCAAGUCUGUCAAGCAGCAGCCAAUGGGGACUGCUGGCGAGAAGAUUCUGGCCCCCAUUCCAGAUGGUGACAGUGGCUUCUGCCCUUCUGUCUGCUCCCAGAGGCAGGGUUGGUAUGCUGGGACCAGGUUUCAGGACAGAGACUUGAUGGGAGUUCAGACCAGCUCCCUCUCUCCUUUGUGUUGCUAACCCUGCUGGAAUAUCAUCUAUUAAUGAAGUCGAGUGAAAAGCAAAUACUGUAACAGUUUGGCUCAGCAGCAUUCCACACUGGGAAUCACAGCCUUUCCAAUUUGGGCAUAAUAAGAGAAGAGAAAUGGGAGUUUCACUUCUGGUUCUUACCUUCCCAAAUUGUGGAGAGCACAGACAUUCUUGGUUUACACCAGGCAAUAACGCAAUUUUUUAAAUGACAAGUUCAAACAAUAAGAUUUGCCAUCCAGGGUAUUUAAAUGUACAGCUAUGUUUGAGUUUGAUGAAUAUGAGUUCUGUGUAUGGAUGUCCUGUUAUGUUAAAAUAUAAUUCUGUAACCUGU
Long non-coding RNA from Mauremys reevesii (Reeves's turtle), 530 nucleotides. RefSeq lists it as uncharacterized. NCBI's taxonomy places the organism in Eukaryota, Metazoa, Chordata, Testudines, Geoemydidae. The transcript is spliced from 2 exons. The record is from RefSeq and is a predicted model, not a curated record.